CGCCCUGAUGGUGAGGGUGACGCCGUGGGACGUGGAGCCACACAGGAGCCCCCCUGGCUCACCUGAGCACAUGCCCUGGCUCACCUGAGCAGCGCCCGCGCCUCCCCCGCCAGCCCGCUCAGCUCCUGCGCCCGCGCCUGCAGCCCCCGCGCCUCCUGCUCCAGCCGCGAGCA
This is a long non-coding RNA of Vidua macroura (Pin-tailed whydah), 173 nucleotides long. RefSeq lists it as uncharacterized. The transcript has 3 exons. Lineage: Eukaryota; Metazoa; Chordata; Aves; Passeriformes; Viduidae. The record is from RefSeq and is a predicted model, not a curated record.